AUGAAUAUGCACAUCCGCAGCGCCUCCUUUACUCCGAGGACUUUCUCCUUCCCCCCGGCACAAAACCGAACAUCCCACCCCACCCCCAAGCUGAAAUACCUGGGCCGCCCCUCCCCGGGAAGGGCCGCGCUCCCGGCGAACUGGGAGGGCCCGGAAGUCGGCCCGGGACUGAGGAGCCGGCCCACCGCCUCCCGGCCGGAGGCGGCAGUGCAGGUGAGGCGGCGGCCGCCCUGGGCACGGCGGGGUAAGGAGCGGAGGGCGGCCUGCGCCGGGGAGGCGGUGGGGGCCGGCCGCGCCGCCUCGCCUCGCCUCGGCCUUCCUGCCCCGUCGGGGCUCGCCGCUCGGGACACCGGCGGAGCACGUCUGGGCGGGGGGCGGCUCCCGCCCUCGGACCCUCACCCCGCCCCGGCCAGCCGCGGCGGGGACACCGGGUCAGCGAAGGGUUAAGGAACUCGCUCCCUCCCCUCCGUUCCCUCACCCUUGGAAAGUCCCCGAAAUGACGUUUCAACCCGACAAUUAAAAAAAGAGUUUAAUUAUAGAGGCAGACUCUGGGAGCUGGAACAAACCCUCGGCCGGCGGGGCCGGUAAACAACUCGGGAGCGAGCGGUCCGGGCCAGCCGCAGCCUUGAGGACCCCGCGCCCCCGGGGAGAGGGGGAGGGGAGGGCCGCUGGGAGUUGGAAAAGCCUAAGAAAUUCGAGGAAUCAGCUUUCUUUGGAAAAACCCACUUUGUGGCCAUUCUGGGACGCCCGAUGGUGCUCCUGGCCGGUCCCGCAGACUUGGAGGGAAAGCGGCGCUGCCCGGAGCAGGGGGACAGCCCUGGGCCGGGAAGGGGGCCCCUUCCGCUCCCAGUCCCCUUCCCCUUUGCCUGCUUCCAGCCCCUCCUCUGGUCCCCUCAGCCGAGCUUCGCCAACCCUCGGGAGUUAAAGACCAGCCGGCCCCCUUUGGGGCGGCGGUUUGGGGGAGCGGGAAUGGGUGGAGGCCGGGGGAAUAAAAAAACCGAAAUAGUUUCACAUCAGAACUCAGACUAACCUUGUGGUUUCAGCGUGCACCCUGCUCUGUCCCGAAAUCUGGAACUCAUUACCUCAUCACCAAGAAACUGCACGAAAUCGUCCCCCCCCCCCACGCCCCAACACCCACUUGGGGCUGGGAAAGGAACGAGCAAACAUCCCUCUAAGAAAGAAACCUACACUUGAGUGAUUGAAAUUAAGGUGGAUGGAAGUUAUUCCCUUUCUGGCGCUUGCCAGAAAAGCUGAAAAAUGGGAGCAGGGGGAGAGAAGCAACAGGCGGCUGGAGAGCAGCAGCAGAACAGGCGAGGGGCAGCAGCCGUGUUAAAGUGGGGGCCAUCAAUUUCAGGCAGAGGAGACAAAUGAAAGCCGAUCCCGCUGGGAUCACGUAGGUUCGUGGCUGCAGCAUAAGUUGUGUUUCGCAAAGUUGAAAACAACCGGUUUCUCAAACAGUUGUGAUUUGGAAGGUUUCGCUGGGUUUGCCCAGAGGUUGACGAAUAAAUAAAAAAUGCAGUU
Molecule: non-coding RNA, 1521 nt
Organism: Saimiri boliviensis boliviensis (Bolivian squirrel monkey)
Lineage: Eukaryota; Metazoa; Chordata; Mammalia; Primates; Cebidae
Source: RefSeq, a predicted model, not a curated record